UUCGGUGGCGAUUGCGGAGGGGUCACACCCGUUCCCAUCCCGAACACGGAAGUUAAGCCCUCCAGCGCCGAUGGUACUUGGUCGGAGACGGCCUGGGAGAGUAGGACGCCGCCGGAU
This 117-nucleotide ribosomal RNA is filed under the name Actinomycetes bacterium. Lineage: Bacteria; Bacillati; Actinomycetota; Actinomycetes. RNAcentral also lists the same sequence under 1 other name. The record is from RNAcentral.